Long non-coding RNA from Sceloporus undulatus (fence lizard), 1254 nucleotides. RefSeq lists it as uncharacterized. The record is from RefSeq and is a predicted model, not a curated record. Lineage: Eukaryota; Metazoa; Chordata; Lepidosauria; Squamata; Phrynosomatidae. The transcript has 4 exons.
UCUGUGAUGGUUGCUGCUUACAAAUCUCCUGUGCACCACUAGUGGAGACUGGUGGCUUCCAUCCCUGUAGGACAAUGAAUCCAUUCUGGAUUUUAGUAAGAACUAUAAGGUGCUGAGCUUCUUUCAUAAAAGAAAUCCAGCACUAUGGAUUGCUCCAAAUUGAUUUUCUGCCUCCACAAUCCUGGAAGGGAGGAGAAAAGAGGAGAGAAGAAAAUGGGGGGGGGGGGGGGGGAAGGGGAAGAAAAAUAAGUGAAACCCAGAGAGAAGCAAGAAGAAGGAAGAAAGCACAGGAGAAAAAGAAAGAAAGGAAACAAGGGCAGUUCAAAAACUGAAACUUUCUUCAUCAUUUGGAAUCCAACAAUCCUGGAAGUUUUGCACAGACGUCUAUGUAUAGCACAGAAACUGGAGUCUCUAAAGUUGGCCUGAAAAUCUGACCUAGAAAAUCUGACCUAGAACUGCACAAUAAGAGAUAUACAAUGAGAAAAAAAAAUCAAAAAUCAAAUGUGUGCCUAAAUGUGUGCCUAACAUGUUGAGUUUUGUUCUCGUCCUUGAGGUGCACUUUAUAAUGUUUACACAAAUGCAGGCACACACCACUUAGAAAUGGACUGUACAAUUUUAAAUAUUAUUAGUAGGCUAAUUAAGACUGGAGAAUUGGGGUUAACUCCAUCUCCCCCCUGAAUACAGGAAUCAACAUGCUUUUUUUUUUUACAUUGAAGAGGAUUUAAACAUGUGACGCCAGAUUUACCACUGGAAAUUCUGCAGUCCCAAGAUGUGCUCUGAUACAUUUGCCCUUAUCUUGAACCUUACGUCUUGUAAAUUUAAUCAUGAGUAUGAAGGGAAGAUACAGUUUCUGCUUUUCCAGAAAAUUAAGACAAUGGAUUCAAAUGGCUGCAGCUCCAGAAAACCUUAUCAGAUAUAAAAACAAGAGAGAGCUAUUUAGAUCUCCAGGGCCCCCUCCACAUGGACAGAAUACCCCAGGAGCAGGAUGGAGUAUUCUGGGUUCCAAAGCUGCCUCAUAUUCCUCUGCCUACAAAGAAGCCUGCAGCCUCACAACAUAUUGGACUGCAAAAAGAGGAUUCCUUGUUGAUAUGCAAAUGGACAUUAAAUUCCCAGGAUUUUGCCCAAUUGCUCCAUGGCCAGAAGAAGAGACGCCAGCCUGCUAAAGAUACCCUCCCUAUACCAUCUUAACUAAGGACAGAAACAACAAAAUUCAGGCAUCUUAUUAACAUCUCUAAUUUUCCUCCUGUUUGGUAU